Oryzias melastigma (Indian medaka) is the source of this 1311-nucleotide long non-coding RNA. RefSeq lists it as uncharacterized. Lineage: Eukaryota; Metazoa; Chordata; Actinopteri; Beloniformes; Adrianichthyidae. The record is from RefSeq and is a predicted model, not a curated record. The transcript has 3 exons.
GCUUCAUUUCAGGGACUGUGGAAGUCAAUGGAUGACGUCAGAGAUGAUGCGUCUAAUUAUAUAUUAAGUCUAUGGUAUGAGCGCGGCGUGCCACGAGAGAAGAGUGCAGCUACAGCAGAGAGAAUGAGAGAGAAACGCUCCGUCUUUGUCCCACCAGGGGGUUUUGUGCAACGUUUUUUCUUUCUUUUUUUUUCUAAAAUCACUAAUUAAUACUUAAUACAAAUAGGCUUAAAAUAAAAUAAAGUAAAAUUUAAAUAAGUAAUUAAAUAAAUACAGAGCACAAGGGCACUUCUUGAUAUGAGCCAAAAAGGGGUGCUCAAGCACCCCAGGGCCCUAUGUGUGCACGUGCCUGCUUGUCAAAGUUUCUAAGUAAAUAUUGAAAUGAAAUUGAGUGGAAGAGGAGGAAUACACAUGGUAUUUUGGGUGCAUUUUGAGAAAAACCAGUUUGAGAACAGAACACCUCUAUUGCUUCAAGAGGUUUUUUUCAUGUUGACUCAAAAAUUGGGGUGGCAAAGCUUUUUGCUGUGGUGGCAGGCUGGCAGCAGCCCCCCUUGUAGCUCCGCCCCUGGAGAGUUGAUGUCACUUUUGUUCUACCUCGUCUUCUUGGCUCCCAAACUCAUUCAGACUGAAUACAAAAUAGCGUUCAUAUCCAUAAUUUUUAACAGUGAUUUUCUUAAAUUCCCCUGUUCACCUGCAUGCCAUGGACUCCUUUCUGUUCCUAUCAUUAGUCGCUGUCCAUGGUGCUGCUAUAGCAGGAAUACGCAGACAUGCAGCACGGACGCGGAUGUAACGUCAUCCGCAGAGGUUGUUCAGAGUAGAUGGAGCUCCGUGACAGGAGGAGUCGGUGACUGCUACAUCUGAACUCAAAUGUUUCAAAUAACAAGACCGAAAGCACUUUCAGCUGCAGCUCUAACAGAAGAGCGCAUGCGCACUUUCGACACCUGCCUUCCACCAUCCAUUUCUCAGCUCGCGGCUCCACCCCCGCCGUUCUUCAGUCACGCAGGGCACGCUGCAGUAUAUAGCCGUCUGCUGUGGACAGCUUCAUCCCCGCACUUCUGCGUCAUUCUGAACGAACCCCGCAACGCGAUCUACUGCAGCCGUGAAGAUGGCGGCCCGGGCUAGAAGAAAAGUCAGCCAUCCAUAAUUCCUGAAGGCACCCUCUACCUGGGACUGGAACUCCAGGGCCGUCUUGGGGUCCAUCAUGGCCGGAACGUACUGUCAGGGCAGGAUUUGGGGGACCAACCAAAGAUGACAGACAAAGGAGUGCAAGAACAAGACACAGAACACAGAAAGGUCGUUAUAUUUUAUAAG